This 253-nucleotide ribosomal RNA is filed under the name uncultured bacterium. RNAcentral describes it as "partial 16S ribosomal RNA". It matches the Rfam family "Bacterial small subunit ribosomal RNA", at positions 15 to 237 of the family's 1533-position model. The record is from RNAcentral.
GAUCAUGGCUCAGGACGAACGCUGGCGGCGUGCUUAACACAUGCAAGUCGAACGGAGCACCCUUGACUGAGGUUUCGGCCAAAUGAUAGGAAUGCUUAGUGGCGGACUGGUGAGUAACGCGUGAGGAACCUACCUUCCAGAGGGGGGACAACAGUUGGAAACGACUGCUAACUACCGCAUGACGCAUCGGACCGGGGCACGUCCCGGGACAUGUACAAAGUAUUUUAUCGCGUAGGGAAGAUCGGCCUCGGCG